UACAGAGGUGGCGAGCGUUGUUCGGAAUUACUGGGCGUAAAGGGCGCGUAGGCGGCCUUCUAAGUCGGACGUGAAAUCCCCAGGCUUAACUUGGGAACUGCGUCCGAUACUGGAGGGCUUGAGUGCGGGAGAGGGAUGUGGAAUUCCAGGUGUAGCGGUGAAAUGCGUAGAUAUCUGGAGGAACACCGGUGGCGAAGGCGGCAUCCUGGACCGACACUGACGCUGAUGCGCGAAAGCCAGGGGAGCAAACAGG
Molecule: ribosomal RNA, 253 nt
Filed under: uncultured bacterium
Lineage: Bacteria
Description: partial 16S ribosomal RNA
Rfam family: Bacterial small subunit ribosomal RNA
Source: RNAcentral